GUCUGCUCUUCAGCAGUCUGCUGCAUUUAUUUUCCUCUCCCCUGUGCUCUCAGCUUGAUGGCGUGUGGCCUGUGGUUUGCUGUUUCUUGCUUCAGCUCAUUGCCUGGAAACCCUACCUAGAAAAGCUUGUGGAUUUCACGCGGUGCUCGUGAUGGGGUUAUAACCAGCAUCAAAAGUGGCACCAUCAACAUCAAGAGUUUUCUGAACUGCAGCUGCUGUCCCCCCAGGAUGGCUCCCUGUGGGGACACCAAGGCAAGUUCUGCUCUGUGUCCCUAACUCAGGGGAAGAGACUCACCUGGCAUCCCUCCUCUCCUGAUGGAUGUCCUGGAAGAAAAGGGGCCACCACAGUGGCAUCUACUGCUUAAGGUGGAGGCCCAGCCCAGCUCUCAUUCACCCCUUGCUCACAGGCUCCAGGGAAAUCCAGGGAGUCCAACUGAGACAUUCUGCAGAGCAGAAGGAAUUCAUAAAGAUAAAUCUCCAGCAGCUGAGAAAGGAGAGAACCUGUUAAUGACCCUGCAGCACCAAGCCCCUGGUGUGAGCUCUCAGCUAUCUGCAGAACUGCAGGGCUGCACCUGCACCCAGGCACUCCCAGAGCACAGGAACAAAGCCAUGCCUUUGCUCCCCCUUUCCCUGUCUUUAAGGAACACAGAGAGUGGAUAAGAAUUAUUCUGAAGCCAUUUAUUAUGAAGUUAUUAUUUAGUAGAGUUAAAUAACAGAUGUGACAAUUUUGAACAAACUUGUGAUGAAUACUUUUUGAGAGGUUGGAGGCAAAGGAAAAAAUAAAGCAGGCUGAGCUGCCUUGUGCUUUCUUUCUGGUGGGAAAAUGUCAUUUUAGUAAGAAAUCAGUUUCAAGUGGAAAAAAGUAUGGAAUAUGUUGCUCUAGAAAAAAGCAGAAUAGCUGCUCUCACCAACAUUACAUCAACAAAAUAUUAAUAUCUGAAAAUCAAGCCUACAGUUCACAGACUACAGCCCACAGACAAGCACCUUCUGCUGGCUCUGCCAAACCCCUCUGGAGCAUUUGUCUGAGAUAUAAACAGAAAUGUCUGGGAGGCUGUUCCCUACAGCCUUCACAGCCCUCAGUGAAACAGAAAGAGGAAAAGGAGGCUUUUCUCUAAUUACUUUUGGCAGGAUAACAACUUGAGGAAAUGCCAGGGAAGACUGUUCAGCCAGAGGCAAAUCACCUCCUGGGAUGUGAGAGAGAGGAAUAAGGAAGGAGAAGGGGAAGGGGCCUUUGCUCAGACAUGUCUGCUGGGACUCAGCUGACACACUGCAAAACACGGUCUGAAAUCCUUCAAAGGAUUCAAAGAGGUUACAGGCUGCUCCACGGGCAGCCCCUUCCUGUGAGCCGAGAGCGGCCCCAGCUCCCGCUCAUCCAUCUCAUCACAGUGGAGUUUCAGAAGUGAAACUGUCACUGCACAGAAGCAGAUUAUCUGAUUGUGGGAGAUUUCAAUUAACAAUGGCACAACCAAACCCAUCGACGGGAAACUGGUUUGAGAGAUUGAAAUGGAAACGAUACUCUUUAAUGAUAACCAACACCCCCCCGGCAGGGCAGCCCCGAGUUGAUGCCUGCCACCUUCCUGAGGGAGCCCUCCUCAGAGGUGAUUCCUCCAUGGCUUACCCAAGGGCUGAACUGACAAAGAGCCACAAACACUCACUGCCCUGGCAGUUUUCAGCUUUUUUCCACACACUGUACCCACUGCAGGGAGGUCAAGGCUCCAGGAGCAGCUUGCGCUGCUCCAAUGCAGGAACAUUUUGUUCUCACUUCAGUGGCACUCAGGCAGAACAAGAGUCUAAGCCCAGGCCUCCAAUACUCCACACAAGCAUCCUCAGACUGAAGGCAGGCUGCAGUAACAAAACCAUCGGCCAGAUGUUAUCUGGAAAGACAGGCUGAUUUCCUGGCAAGAAAUGAAUAAAAAAUUCUACAUGAAAAUUCACUUGGAUACACUUCUUGGUGAAAGAUUACUCUCACACAAGUUUUCUGUCCAGUUAUAACUCCAUGCUGUCUCCACUUUCUUUUACCUAGAAAAGGAAACUAAUCAUCUAAUCAGGACAUAAGAUCAUAAUCAAACUCAGAGCUCAGGUAGGCUACAGCCACAGCUCAGUGGUGGCCAGGAGCCUGUGCCUGACCCAGAAGACACAUGUGCCAUGCUCCUGUCUUUGCUACACAACCCCUCUGGAGCCUCACCUGCGUGGGGCUGCCCAGGACACUUGACAGAGCUUGGCAGAAGAUGCAAAGCCAUAAAGGCAGCUGAGGUGCCCUGAUCUCAGUGUGAGCAAAGACCUCUGGACACCUGAGGCAGGCAUACACUAGUGCCUGUGACUUUGCACACUUUGUUAACUCUGCUGCUGUGCAAACAAGCCCACGAUGGUCCCUUCAGUCCUCUCCUCUCUGAUGACAUCAGACUGCAGCAACAGGGAGGUGGCUUGGGCUGGGGCACACAGUGUGCAAGGAGAAACUGAGAGCAACAGGUUUGUUCAGGCUGGAGAGAAGCUAAAGGGAGAUACUACAGUUAUCUGCUGCUCUCUGAUAGGGAGACACAUAGGAAAAAGCUGAAAGGCAACAGGCACAACAUGAGAAAUUAUGCAAGAAAAACAUUCACUGUCAGCAGAGUCACACAUUGGAACUGGAAGUGGCACCACUUCUCUGAAAACAACCUGCUGUAACUUUGAACUUGACCCUUCUUUCAGCAGGGGGUGGCCAAAGCAGCCUCCAGCCAUCCCUUCCAGCUCCAUGACCCGAAAAGCCUGUGAAGAACCACUUCCCAUGAGACCUCUCACACUUUGUGGGAAGCUGCUUCAAGAACUUGUGCCUUUCAGUUUUCUGUAUCUGUGAAAUGGAGUUGAUGUGAUUUCCUUAUUCAAGCCUUUGUCUAGCAGGUGUACGGAAUAACCCACUUUUUUAGUGUGGAAUAGAUGACUUGGCUCUUCAGAAGACACAAACCAGCACAUACAAACAGGAGAGAGGCACUUUGGUGCCAAUACUUAGCAUUUGUUUCAGAACUCGCCUGUGAUGCUGUCGGGGGCUGUGUGCUUCCUGCAGAUCUGAAAUCCUCAGAGCUGCCCCAAAGUUUCUAGCAAACAAAUUUAAUGCUUUCAUUUUACACCAGAAGCAUAACAAUUAUCUGGGAAAUCUCCCUCCCACACCAUGCAGUCUGUAUUUUGGGUGGCUUGGUGAUCUCACCCCAAAGAGUUACUCGGGUUCAACACUGCUUUUGAAAACUGUCAUGUAAAAGCCACUGGGUCAACUUUUAAGCCAGGGCUCACCAUGAACAGCUGUGUGUGCUUAAAUACAGAAAAACAAAGCAGUUGAAAGAACAGGACAAAAAGAAAUCUUCCAUCUUCUCUCUCCCACUCCCCUCUUACCCACAUGUUACCAGACCUUAAGAGACAUGACCUACAAGUACAACUGCUCUCAUCCUGCCAGGCCCUGCUGCAGUUCUCUGCUGUUGUCUUUCCCAGCUUCUUCAUAAUCCUAAAAUGGUCUUCUAAUGAAGAGAGCCACCAAUAUCUGCCCAGACACUGCCUCGUGCUACUCCUAACUCCACAGCACAUCCCACAGGGGGAUGCAGGAAAGCCAGGAACACAGUGAGAGCUGCACAGCCCCUCGUUACAAUGCUGGUCACAUAGGAACAGUCACAGAGAUCAAGAAAGGAAGUUAUGAAAUAACAAUAACUGGAAAGAAACACCAGGGACCUGCACCUUCUUCAAUCCUGGGGGCACAGCAGAGAGUGAAACUACGCAGGAAACAUGAAGCUGUCCUAAUUAAAUAUAUUCCAAACAGAGGAAAAUUAGAACAGCAGGGAGUUAUGAGCUUCCCCUUUCAUAUUCCCCCAGCAGAAGCUGUUUCAAUUCCACUGUCUGGAGGCACACUUUCUGGAGAGAAGUAGAAAACCAAGGAAUCUGAUUCCACCUCACAGCUGGAAGCCCUUCAAGCAAAGUCUGUGAGCAGGCCUGAUACAAUAAAAUGGUCCUAUUAUUCCAGCACAAGUCUAAGUCACUGAACCAUCUCUUUUUAGUUGGCUCCAGAUCAAUGGUAAAUAAAUUAAAUCCUUCCAUCAUUAACUCAAGCGCUUGCAAUUGUCUCAAUUUUAUUGUUAAC
Myiozetetes cayanensis is the source of this 4099-nucleotide long non-coding RNA. RefSeq lists it as uncharacterized. The transcript is spliced from 4 exons. The record is from RefSeq and is a predicted model, not a curated record. Lineage: Eukaryota; Metazoa; Chordata; Aves; Passeriformes; Tyrannidae.